This 54-nucleotide transfer RNA is filed under the name Gnathostoma spinigerum. RNAcentral describes it as "tRNA-Gln". The record is from RNAcentral. Lineage: Eukaryota; Metazoa; Nematoda; Chromadorea; Rhabditida; Gnathostomatidae.
UACGGUUUAUUUUAAUAAGAAUUUUUAUUUUUGGUGUAAAGGGUAGUGUCGUAA